Molecule: non-coding RNA, 30 nt
Filed under: Mus musculus (house mouse)
Lineage: Eukaryota; Metazoa; Chordata; Mammalia; Rodentia; Muridae
Source: RNAcentral
UGGGCAUCUGAGUGUUAAUUAAGGGUCAUU